CUGCCAGUAUUUAGUAGUCAGGUCAGCAAACCUGUCUUGGUAGUUCCAUCACCGAAACGAGGUACCAUAUGGAUUUGUUCUCUCUUCUAGUAGAUAAUCCAGAUUGAUAUUAUCUUUCGCGUGAUUUUGUGCUGAUGUGUGAUCCAGAAUUUGGACACAUACCCAUGUGCUAGAAGGAUCUGGUGUAGCUUGUUUAAUCAAUGCUAGACCAGUUUACAUGUACUUCUGAAUUUUUCAUCGGUUGUACUUGCAUAUUGGAAUGAAGGUGCUAAAGUUUAGCAACUCAUACAUUUUACUUAUUUAUUUCUGUAAGUUGUGCCUUUUGGAUUUUGAAAGUUGUUGAUGGUUACAAUUAGAAUUGAAGCAAUGCUACUUUCCUCCCUCCGUGAAAGAAAUGCUACUUGUACUAACUUUGUCGGGCGUUGUACUCUUUAGAUAAGUGUUGUAUCUUGCAGAUUGUUAGGAAUAUGGCUUGAAAACUUCUUUCGGGGUAAUUAGAAAAACGAACCGCUAAACUGUAUCUCAUAGAUGAACACUAAUAUUUACUGUCUCACCCGAGUGAGUUCCUAAGUAUAAACAUGCUAUGCUUGGCAUGCAGUUUUGGGGAAAAAGGAAGCAUAGCAUGUGUACAAAUUGGUUGACCUUGCAUUUUACUACUUAGUAUUUACUAUACAUCCAGAAUUGUACUUGGAAGUGUCAAAAAAUUUCAUUUAUAAUCAUCGAUAGUAAUAUUGCUAUAGAUAUAUACACACACUAAAAGUCUGAAAUAAAUUCUAGAAAAGGUACAACUAUCAUAUCUUUUGCUUUGUCCCGUAUUCAGUUUUUUAAUCUUUUCCUGGUUUGAUGUUAAUAUUUUGUUAGUUCAUAGAUGCUGCUAAUUUGUACUUCAAAAAUUUUAAACUUGAUUUUGUUUUCUCAGCAGGUCAACAAGUUUUUUUUCUCAAGCUUGUAAGUUUUGUCACAAGGAGGAGAUUGUUAGAAUGCUACAAAACUUUAAGUACAUGCAUGAUAGUAGUUGUACCGGUCAACUAGGAUGUCUUGAGGUUUCUUGUAUUCGUAGCAACAACACGAGUAUGUGGGGUGAGAUUAAGCUACGAUCUUCAAAAUCAUUGCAAGUUUGGUGAUUCUUCGAGAGAGACAUGUGGCUCUCUUUGAAGGACGCGGUCUCACAGGAUGGUGGCGAGUCUGUUAUUCACAAGACAUCUAAUAAAGCCAUCCAACAAACGGUUGUGAACAAGCAAUUUUUCUUCCUGGACAUGCCUGCAGCUGUGCGUCAAGAUCAAACCAUUUGUAUCUUAGUUUGAACAAAAGAAAUCUUAUUGUGUUAUGUAAAUUCUGUUUACCGAUGUAGUUGGAUGCUACCGAAUGGAUCUAUGAAUGUUGAAAUAUUGAAUUUUUUUG
Molecule: long non-coding RNA, 1401 nt
Filed under: Triticum aestivum (bread wheat)
Lineage: Eukaryota; Viridiplantae; Streptophyta; Magnoliopsida; Poales; Poaceae
Description: long non-coding RNA (TAES_LNC015370)
Source: RNAcentral